Molecule: transfer RNA, 83 nt
Organism: Actinoplanes regularis
Lineage: Bacteria; Bacillati; Actinomycetota; Actinomycetes; Micromonosporales; Micromonosporaceae
Rfam family: tRNA
About the family: Transfer RNA (tRNA) molecules are approximately 80 nucleotides in length. Their secondary structure includes four short double-helical elements and three loops (D, anti-codon, and T loops).
Source: Rfam
GUCCGGGUGGCGGAAUGGCAGACGCGCUAGCUUGAGGUGCUAGUGCCCGCAAGGGCAUGGGGGUUCAAGUCCCCCUCCGGACA